CAAGGCUUGACGUGAACCGGUAAUACCUGGAAACAGGUGCCCCACUUUGUGGUCGGUUUACAGGUGGUGCAUGGUUGUCGUCAGCUCGUGUCGUGAGAUGUUGGGUUAAGUCCCGCAACGAGCGCAACCCUCGUUCUAUGUUGCCAGCACGUGAUGGUGGGGACUCAUAGGAGACUGCCGGGGUCAACUCGGAGGAAGGUGGGGACGACGUCAAAUCAUCAUGCCCCUUAUGUCUUGGGCUUCACGCAUGCUACAAUGGCCGGUACAAAGGGUUGCGAUACUGUGAGGUGGAGCUAAUCCCAAAAAGCCGGUCUCAGUUCGGAUUGGGGUCUGCAACUCGACCCCAUGAAGUCGGAGUCGCUAGUAAUCGCAGAUCAGCAACGCUGCGGUGAAUACGUUCCC
This 402-nucleotide ribosomal RNA is filed under the name uncultured bacterium. Its description in RNAcentral is "bacterial SSU rRNA". It matches the Rfam family "Bacterial small subunit ribosomal RNA", at positions 975 to 1375 of the family's 1533-position model. The record is from RNAcentral.